GAUGAACGCUGGCGGCGUGCCUAAUACAUGCAAGUCGAGCGAACUUUUGGGAGCUUGCCUCCUAAAGUUUUCGGCGGGCGCGUGAGUAACACGCGUGUAACCUGUCUGUAAGACUCUGAUAUCUUUUCGAAACCCCAGCUCUUAUCCGGUAACAUUUUAUACAACAUAUGCUUCAAUUAAAAAAUGCCUUUUAGCUAUCACUUAUAGAUGGAUCCGCGCCGCAUUAGCUAGUUGGUAAGGUAACGGCUUACCAAGGCAACGAUGCGUAGCCGACCUGAGAGGGUGAUCGGCCACACUGGAACUGAGACACGGCCCAGACUCCUACGGGAGGCAGCAGUAGGGAAUCUUCCGCAAUGGGCGAAAGCCUGACGGAGCAACGCCGCGUGAGUGAAGAAGGUCUUCGGAUCGUAAAGCUCUGUUAUUAGGGAAGAACAAAUGUCGUAGGAACAGGGCAGAACUUUAAGGGAACCAAACAAGAAGGCCACGGCUACCACGGG
Molecule: ribosomal RNA, 497 nt
Filed under: uncultured bacterium
Lineage: Bacteria
Description: partial 16S ribosomal RNA
Rfam family: Bacterial small subunit ribosomal RNA
Source: RNAcentral